CCUCAGUCGUAGAUUACCUAUAAUAGGUAAUUGUCAAAUGCUCUUAGAUUACCUAUAAUGGGUAAGCUAGGUGCACGUUAGUCGCUAGCUAGAACCCAGGACCCUGCCAGGACCAAUAAUAAUUACGUGUAUUCGAUAUAGAAUUACGCGGCGUUUUUUGGGUUUACGCGGGUAACAUGUUGUUCACGUUGGUUCUCCUUUCCUGUCGAUUACUUGAUCUUUAAGGAUCUUUCUUUACUUUUUUGGCCUUCGAAAGUGCUUGGAGUUACUCUGAACAAAGCUGAUAUGGCUGGGCGCCCGAAACGAUGUGGCAAAUGCAACAACGACAAUGGUCCAGCAGCAAAGAGAUGCCGUAUCUGCAAGGAGAGCAUAGUCGUUGACAUCGAGCAAAACGAAGACAACGAAGAAGAUGCCCGGAUAUUAAAUAUGGGUAAAACAAACCCAACAAAGCAAUUCAAUUUGCUAAAGAAACGGGCAAAAAUUCUAAAAUGUCGUCAUGGUUGGAUAUUGUUG
Molecule: long non-coding RNA, 513 nt
Organism: Dendronephthya gigantea
Lineage: Eukaryota; Metazoa; Cnidaria; Anthozoa; Malacalcyonacea; Nephtheidae
Exons: 3
Source: RefSeq, a predicted model, not a curated record